Molecule: long non-coding RNA, 354 nt
Filed under: Carica papaya (papaya)
Lineage: Eukaryota; Viridiplantae; Streptophyta; Magnoliopsida; Brassicales; Caricaceae
Description: long non-coding RNA (CPAP_LNC007062)
Source: RNAcentral
CUUCUAAAAGAUUACGAUUUUCAGAUCAUUUAUCACCCUAGGAGAGGAAAUGUAGUCACCGAUGCACUAAGCCGAAAAGGAGCCUGCUGUGCUAGCGCAAACCAUGGCCUCCUGUUGGAAGAUGAUGGACAUUGUACAAUCGCUCUGCCUUAGUUAUUACAGUAAGGACACCUAUCUCGCCCAGAUCUGAGCCAUAUCGAAUCUCUUUAUAAAGAUCUGGGAAGCACAGGCCACGAACCCAAAACUCACCAAGAAUUUAGGUAAGUUCACUUCUGAUGAAUCUCUUGAUUUCAUGAUCUAGGAUGAUAGACUAUUCAAAUUCUGAAAUCAAAUUUGGGUCCCCAUUGCUGUAUG